UGCAAUGCCUGUGUAUCGGUUUUCCU
This 26-nucleotide non-coding RNA is filed under the name Rattus norvegicus (Norway rat). The record is from RNAcentral. Lineage: Eukaryota; Metazoa; Chordata; Mammalia; Rodentia; Muridae.